RNAcentral lists this ribosomal RNA (487 nucleotides) under uncultured bacterium. RNAcentral's name for it is "bacterial SSU rRNA". It matches the Rfam family "Bacterial small subunit ribosomal RNA", at positions 26 to 507 of the family's 1533-position model. The record is from RNAcentral.
GUACGAGGACGAACGCUGGCGGCGUGCCUAACACAUGCAAGUCAACUUGACUGAAGGAGCAAUCUGACAGUAGAGUGGCGCAAGGGUGCGUAACGCGUAAGUAACUUGCCCCAAGGUAAGGAAUAACGUCGAGAAAUCGGCGCUAAUACCUCAUAAUGCAGCGGAUCCGCAUGGAUAUGUUGUUAAAGGUUUACCGCCUUGGGAUAGGCUUGCGUCUGAUUAGUUAGUUGGUGUGGUAACGGCACACCAAGGCUACGAUCAGUAACUGGUCUGAGAGGAUGAUCAGUCACACUGGAACUGAGACACGGUCCAGACUCCUACGGGAGGCAGCAGUGAGGAAUAUUGGGCAAUGCUCGAAAGAGUGACCCAGCAACGCCGCGUGGAGGAUGAAGGUAUUCUAUAUCGUAAACUCCUGUGAGAGCAGACGAAAGACAGAUUAUUAAUCUGGAUGACUGUAUGCUCAGAGGAAGCCCCGGCUAACUACGUG